Non-coding RNA from Callithrix jacchus (white-tufted-ear marmoset), 1535 nucleotides. Lineage: Eukaryota; Metazoa; Chordata; Mammalia; Primates; Cebidae. The record is from RefSeq and is a predicted model, not a curated record.
AUUCUCUUAAUGAUGUCUUUAAAUGUGCAAAAGUAAUAAUUUCACCAAUCAUGUUCUUUAAGGAUAAUGCUUUAUUUGUGUGAUGGUCAAGAAAUUUUACACUAUUCUAAGAAUAUGAAGAUAGCGGUCUGCGAAGCCUGAGUCCUGUCCUCUGCUCUCCUCCCCGGGCAGCAUGAGCUUCACCACUCGCUCCUCCUUUUCCACCAACUACCGGUCCGUGGGCUCCGUCCCGGUGCCCAGCUAUGGCACCCGGCCAGUCAGCAGCGCGGCCAGCGUCUAUGCAGGCGCCGGGGGCUCUGGUUCCCGCGUCUCCGUGACGCGCUCCACCAGCGUCCGGAGCGGCAUGGGGGUCGGGGGGCCUGACCGCGGGGAUGGCCAGGGGUCUGGCAGGAAUGGGAGGCAUCCAGAACGAGAAGGAGACCAUGCAAAUCCUGAACGACCGCCUGGCCUCCUACCUGGACAGAGUCAGGAGCCUGGAGACCGAGAACCGGAAGCUGGAGAUCAAAAUCCGGGAGCACCUGGAGAAGAAGGGACCCCAGGUCAGAGACUGGGGCCAUUACUUCAAGACCAUCGAGGACCUGAGGGCUCAGAUCUUCUCAAAUACUGUGGACAAUGCCCGCAUCGUUCUGCAGAUUGACAAUGCUCGUCUUGCUGCUGAUGACUUUAGAGUCAAGUAUGAGACAGAGCUGGCCAUGCGCCAGUCUGUGGAGAGCGACAUCCAUGGUCUCCACAAGGUCAUCGAUGACACCAAUGUCACUUGGCUGCAGCUGGAGACAGAGAUCAAGGCUCUCAAGGAGGAGCUGCUCUUCAUGAAGAAGAACCAUGAAGAGGAAGUAAAUGGCCUACAAGCCCAGAUUGCCAGCUCUGGAUUGACCGUGGUGGUAGAUACCCCCAAAUCUCAGGACCUUGCUAAGAUCAUGGCAGAAAUCCGGGCUCAGUAUGACGAGCUGGCUCGGAAGAACCGAGAGGAACUGGACAAGUACUGGACUCAGCUGAUUGAGGAGAGUACCACAAUAGUCACCACACAGUCCACUGAGGUUGAAACUGCUGGGAUGACACUCACAGAGCUAAGACUACAGUCCAGUCCUUGGAGAUUGACCUGGACUCCAUGAGAAAUACAAAGAUCAGCUUGGAGAACAGCCUGAGGGAGGUGGAGGCCCGCUAUGCCCUGCAGAUGGAGCAGCUCAACGGGAUUCUGCUGCACCUGGAGUCAGAGCCGGCACAGACCCGGGCAGAAGGACAGCGCCAGGCCCAGGAGUACGAGGCUCUGUUGAACAUCAAGGUCAAGCUGGAGGCUGAGAUCGCCACCUACCGUCGCCUGCUGGAAGAUGGGGAGGACUUCAGUCUCGGUGAUGCCUUGAACAGCAGCAACUCCGUGCAAACCAUCCAAAAGACGACCACCCGCCGGAUAGUGGAUGGCAAAGUGGUGUCUGAGACCAACGACACCAAAGUUCUGAGACAUUAGGCCAGCAGAAGCAGGGGAUCCUUGGGGGAGCAGGAGGCCAAUAAAAAGUUCAGAGGUCAAAAAAAAAAAA